RNAcentral lists this ribosomal RNA (497 nucleotides) under uncultured bacterium. RNAcentral's name for it is "partial 16S ribosomal RNA". It matches the Rfam family "Bacterial small subunit ribosomal RNA", at positions 28 to 507 of the family's 1533-position model. The record is from RNAcentral.
GAUGAACGCUGGCGGCGUGCCUAAUACAUGCAAGUCGAGCGAACAGACGAGGAGCUUGCUCCUCUGACGUUAGCGGCGGACGGGUGAGUAACACGUGGAUAACCUACCUAUAAGACUGGGAUAACUUCGGGAAACCGAAGCUAAUACCGGAUAAUAUAUUGAACCGCAUGGUUCAAUAGUGAAAGACGGUUUUGCUGUCACUUAUAGAUGGAUCCGCGCCGCAUUAGCUAGUUGGUAAGGUAACGGCUUACCAAGGCAACGAUGCGUAGCCGACCUGAGAGGGUGAUCGGCCACACUGGAACUGAGACACGGUCCAGACUCCUACGGGAGGCAGCAGUAGGGAAUCUUCCGCAAAGGGCGAAAGCCUGACGGAGCAACGCCGCGUGAGUGAUGAAGGUCUUCGGAUCGUAGAACUCUGUUAUUAGGGAAGAACAAAUGUGUAAGUAACUAUGCACGUCUUGACGGUACCUAAUCAGAAAGCCACGGCUAACUACGUG